CACUUCUAAGGAAGGCAGCAGGCGCGCAAAUUACCCAAUCCUGACUCAGGGAGGUAGUGACAAGAAAUAACAAUAAACCGGCUUAUGCCGGUUUAAUUGGAAUGAGUACAAUUUAAACAUCUUAACGAGGAACAAUUGGAGGGCAAGUCUGGUGCCAGCAGCCGCGGUAAUUCCAGCUCCAAUAGCGUAUACUAAAGUUGUUGCAGUUAAAAAGCUCGUAGUUGGAUUUCUGUGGGGACGGAGCGGCCGGCCGCAACACGCGGUUCGAGCUAGCGCUUUCCCUACAUCCUGCCGCGAACCGUGCUACCAUUAGUUUGGUGGCGCCGGGGAUCGGCUCGAUUACUUUGAGAAAAAUAGAGUGUUCAAAGCAGGCCACACGCCUUGAAUAAGUUAGCAUGGAAUAAUAACUAAGGACUUCGGUUCUAUUUUGUUGGUGUUCGGGACUGAAGUAAUGAUUGAUAGGGACAGUUGGGGCGGUCUGUAUUCCAAAGCGAGAGGUGAAAUUCUUAGACCUUCGGAAGACAAACAGCUGCGAAAGCGUUCCGCAAGGAUGUUCCCUUUGAUCAAGAACGAAAGUUGGGGGAUCGAAGACGAUCAGAUACCGUCGUAGUCUCAACUAUAAACUAUACCAGCUAGGGAUCGGCCAACGUUAUUCUAUACCGACUUGGUCGGCACCUUAUGAGAAAUCAAAGCAUCUGGGUUCCGGGGGGAGUAUGGUCGCAAGGCUGAAACUUAAAGGAAUUGACGGAAGGGCACCACCAGCCGUGGAGCCUGUGGCUUAAUUUGACUCAACACGGGAAAACUUACCGGGUCCAGACAUAGUUAGGAUUGACAGAUUAAGAGCUCUUUCUUGAUUCUAUGGGUGGUGGUGCAUGGCCGUUCUUAGUUGGUGGAGUGAUUUGUCUGGUUAAUUCCGUUAACGAACGAGACCGUAACCUGCUAAAUAGCGCGCGUGAGCUUUGCUCGCGGCGAGCUUCUUAGAGGGACUAUGAUGCGCGAUAGCACAUGGAAGUUUGGGGCAAUAACAGGUCUGUGAUGCCCUUAGAUGUUCUGGGCCGCACACGGGCUACACUGGCGCCUGCAACGAGCAUAUCAGCUGGCCCGAGAGGGUCUUGGCUAAUCUUUUGAACCGGCGCCGUGCUUGGGAUUGACCUUUGCAAUUGUUGGUCAUGCAACGAGGAAUGCCUUGUAAACGCGAGUCAUCAGCUCGCAUUGAAUACGUCCCUGCCCUUUGUACACACCGCCCGUCGCUCCUACCGAUGAAUGUUCCGAUGAAAUUUUCGGAGAGCACCUGUGAACUUGGCUCUGCCUCGCGAACGGGAGGCUCAAAGUCACUUAAAUCUGAACAUUUCGAGG
This 1356-nucleotide ribosomal RNA is filed under the name uncultured marine eukaryote. RNAcentral's name for it is "SSU rRNA". It matches the Rfam family "Eukaryotic small subunit ribosomal RNA", at positions 411 to 1779 of the family's 1831-position model. The record is from RNAcentral.